AAUAUGCACGCUCUGCUGUUGCCCUGAACGGAAGCUGGGGAGAACCCUUUAUGGAGGAGUCUUUCCUCCUGCUUUACCAGACAAAGCUUACAUCUUGAGAUUGUGGGGAUUGCAUUGUGCUGGUUCUCCGCAAAGAGCAUCCCUCUGCGAAAUGUGCCAGUGUCCAUGGCAAUGCCUGUCAGAUGUUAUUGGUGGUCUUGGGGAGAUGGAAGAGGACAUCACUACUCCAUUUCCACAGCAAAUGAUCCCUCCCCAUAGGAAGAAUCUCUGGCCCCUUCACAGGGACUGGGGAGAAGAACCUAUUAGCUUGGGUAAUGGAGGUGACAUGAGCUUUUGGCUAUGCUGAAUCAGACGGAGAUCUGAGCAAUAGCAAGAAGGCAUCGUUGUGGCUUUGAAUGAAGAUUCUCCCUUCCCUUUCAGAUCCAUCUCCCACUGUUCCACAAAAUAGGCCAAAAGAAGGUUAUGCUUUCUGGAUGCCAUUAGAGUGGUACUAUGACUGUAUGUGGCUUUCUGCGUAAAGGAAGGGUGCAAAAUCAUCAAUAUUAUGUUUUCAUAUAUAGGAAUUCCCACUGUAACCCUAAAUCCCUGGAUAUACUCAAUAGCCCAACUAUGUCUAUUUGAAAUAAAUCUGAACUCUGAUAACUUCACUCAAAGAAUGGGGUAGAUAUAUUAGCACUAUUGUUUCUUUAAUUGAAAACAUUAGGAGUUUUUUUCCCCUCAAAUUGAAAAUGACAUACUAUGUAUUAAGAUUUUGAAAUGUCUUUUGCUUCAAGGCAUGGCAAUGUAGCAGUGAUUGUGUUUGUGUAAAGAGAUGGGUCUCCUAAUAACAUUUCCUGUUUCUUCACUAAGAAGCCAAAAUGAUGUGGGAACACUUCGGUUGCUUCCUGAGUUAUUCAAACAAAUCCUUAAAAUAAUAUGGCUAAUAUACAAUUUUGAAGUAAAGAAUUGUCCGGGAACAAAAAUCUCCUCAGUUGUGUCCGUGUUAUUAGUAUGGUACCAACAACUUUAUGCCCAAAUGGGCUAGUUUGGCUGUGCUAAGCUGCUUUCACCAGCCUCUAUACCUCAGAACUGUAGUUGAUUUCUUACUUUUUCAAAGGGUAGUAGGGAUUAAUUUCUCAGUUGUGGACCAGCUGGAAACUUGCGUGCGUUUAUAGUGAAAGCACUCAAACUACCAUGACGAGUAUGGUGUAACUCCCUGGAGAGAGAUUUUACCUGCUCUUAGCAUACUGGUAGUUAAGUUUGUUGCUUAAACAAUAAGCCUUUUAGGAACUAACAGCAAUUGUUAGAUUAAGGCAGAGGGCAGACAAGUUCUGUGCCAUCUUUCACAUAGAACAAGACUGUUGAUACGCUGCACUCCUGAUCUCGAGUACACAUGGCACACUAUUCAGUUUUUGGCGUUUCAUGAGCAGAGACAGCCAAUUGUUCCAUAUUUCAUGAUGGUUGAGUCACGGGGACAACAAUCUCUUAGUUCUGGUCAUCUACAAACAUAAUUACUAUUUGCAUUUUAUUAACUAUGUCUAAUGUCUAUUUUCUUCAUUAAACAAUUCUCUUUAUCUUGUA
Molecule: long non-coding RNA, 1560 nt
Organism: Chelonia mydas (Green sea turtle)
Lineage: Eukaryota; Metazoa; Chordata; Testudines; Cheloniidae
Exons: 3
Source: RefSeq, a predicted model, not a curated record